UCUUCCUAUCUAAAUUGCAAAUUUUGCUAAGUCGUUUUGUUUAUACGACAAAUCGUUUGAGUUAAUAAUCCUUGAGAUCCUUUUUGAUUUUUGAACUUGUUUGCAGAAUCAACGACCCGUAGUUUUACGAACGCGGUCAAACACACACACUGCAUUUUGCAGAGCCCGUUCACCGCCACCUUCAACCAAUUUUAUCACUCCUCUGCAAUUCCUCGCUGCUGUGCUUCUUUUAUCGUCGGUACAACGGAGGAGAGGCCAGAAUUUGUGAAUGCCUCCAGCUUGCAAUCAAAAGAAGCAGUUCUAUCGGGGAAGAUCCUCUGUUCAAUCGGAAUUCAAUUUGGCUUGGGGUGGAGAAAAUGGAAAACCAAAUUGAAAUAAUGGGUGUUGAUGUAAACUCCUCUUCUUAUUUCCUUACUGUUGCUCCACAUAAUUGGAUUGAAGAAGAUGCAACUGGAUCAGAGAAUAGCUGCCAUGGCAUGCUGCUGCUACUCCCAAGGUAAUCUGGUGACUGUGAUUCUCUUAUAACCUUUUUCUUUCCAAUGUUUAUUCUGUGUGUUUUGUGGCCCUAGCUUCUGUUAUGGGCUUGUUAUUGCAUUAAUGAUCUCAUCCAAUCUUUUUUGUUGAUGGUUUCCUUGGAAGUACAUUCCUGGCAUUGAAUAUGUUGGUUAACAAUCACUUCUUCCUUGAAUAAAUAUAUAUUGUAUAACUGAGAAUGUUCUGCAGUUUUUGUUCUA
This is a long non-coding RNA of Hevea brasiliensis (rubber tree), 734 nucleotides long. RefSeq lists it as uncharacterized. NCBI's taxonomy places the organism in Eukaryota, Viridiplantae, Streptophyta, Magnoliopsida, Malpighiales, Euphorbiaceae. The record is from RefSeq and is a predicted model, not a curated record. The transcript has 2 exons.